RNAcentral lists this unclassified non-coding RNA (184 nucleotides) under uncultured fungus. Its description in RNAcentral is "sequence contains ITS1". The record is from RNAcentral. Lineage: Eukaryota; Fungi.
UUUAUUUGUUAUAUGUUUUUUACAUUCAUCAACUUGCGUUUAAAAAAAAAGGAUAAAGGUUUUACAUCAGGCUUAACUGAAGAAGCCGAUGACAGUUCACAGGGUUAAAAAGUGGAAGACGGCUCCUCCAUGUAGAGACAGCCAAAAUUCACUAAUGAUCCUUCCGCAGGUUCACCUACGGAAA